CGAGCGUCAUUUAAACCUUCAAGCUCAGCUUGGUGUUGGGUGUCUGUCCCGCCUCGGCGCGGACUCGCCUUAAAUUCAUUGGCGGCCGGUACAUUGGCUUCGAGCGCAGCAGAAACGCGAACUCGUUGACAAUGGAUUGCUCCCAGAAGCUAUUUUCUAUUUUUGACCUCGGAUCAGGUAGGGAUACCCGCUGAACUUAA
Molecule: unclassified non-coding RNA, 200 nt
Filed under: soil metagenome
Description: partial contains internal transcribed spacer 2 and large subunit ribosomal RNA
Source: RNAcentral